UAACAGUACCGAGAGUUCGUGAGGGCUCACUCAGGUGAUGUGUCUCGGUACUGUUACUCUUUCAGUUGUCGAGUUAUUUAAUGAAGGUGAAGAUUGCAAGACGAAAGGAUCAUCGGUGGCUAGCUACUCCAGAAGCGUCACAGGAAGAUCUCGGCAUUCGAGGCAACGGGGUGAAUAUAUACUUCUCGUGGUCAACAUUAACGAUUGAGAACGGUCAUUUAUUCUCGAGGAUUUUGGAGAUGGCUAGCGGAACUCGCCGGGAACAUAGGUCGACCGAAGCUAGUUAGAAACCGUUUGAUUUGAGUUAUUUUGUUCAAGUCGGUUUGCAAUUGAAUCCUAAUUUCUGGUUUCGGGUUGAUUAUAAUUAAUAUUAAAAAAAUAGAGAUGUGGGAAACAUGUAAAUAAAUAUGUUAUCUCUGCAAUUAAGUAAGGUUCAUGUCCCCCGGUUCCAUUUCGAUUAAAAAAAAAGAAGGAUGGGUUGUGAUUAGUUUUUUUUAUUAUCGACUAUAAUGUUUAUGUCUAGGGACAUUAUAAAGGAAAACAUAACCAGUUCAGCAGUUGCGGUUGGGUUUGAUUGGACAGCUUAGAGAAGAUUUAAUUUAUGCGGACGCGAAACUUUAGACGGCGAGAGUCUGAUUUGCAUACAGAAGUGGAAGCACUACGAUAUACAAUGGAGAGUAUCCUACAACAUUCGACAUGCCAUAGUUUUGGGACAGAUUGCAAGGAUCUGAUCGCGAUGAUAAAUGAACCGUAUGCUUGGCCAAAUUUUACAACAUAAUUGGAGGCGAUAAAGACUCUGCAGAUAUGUUUUCCAGAUUCAAGAUUACUUAAAUCCCAAGAGUACAAAAUAUAAUUUCAUGAUUUUUUAUAGAAAUGUCUUUUCAUAGGGAGCUUUGUUUCAUUUGGUCGUUCUAUUCUGGUUUCCGGAUCAACCGAAGUUUAAAUAAUAACAUAACUAUUUGUUGUAAAAAAGAAGAAGGAAAACGUAGCUUUUAAUGAUAUGAUUUAUACGAUUCUCCAAGAAAAGCAUUUAAUUUUAACAUUGCAUGCUUAAGAGUUCCAUCGAAUAUACAUACAUGUUUAAGAACUAUUAAAUAUUUUAUAUAUCUGUGAAAGGGAAAAUAUCCUUAGAUAUGAUCUAUAAAAGUAUAUAUUACCAUUUUUGCCGAGAAAAAAUAAACAAAAUAGUUAGGAGAUUUUCCAUAUUCUAUAGUAUCUAAGCUUUCCAUAAUUCGAAGUUAAAUAGUAAUAGAAAACAUCAUCGUUUCGGUUGAAUCUACAUUCUCAUAAUAUUUUCAGUAUAUAUAUAUAUACAAGAAGAGUAGUUCAUAAACUUCAAAAGGCAGGAUGCAGAGCUUGGGACUCGUGGCGGUUAUAGGCGUCUUUGUCUGUUUAAUAAUCUUGAUUUGUUUCGCAGUUUUUGUAAGUUACGUAUACUUUUGGAAAAAUGUCGAUGAUUCACAAUCGUGAUUGUAAGUUAUUUAACGAUGUUUAAUAUCUCUUUUGUAUGGUAGGCAGUUUAGUGUUUUUGAUUUAUAUGUUUGGUAGUGUAUCUCAAUUUUUACUCUUCAAUAGAGUACACUACUAUAUAAUUUUUUUUUUUUUUUUUUUACAUUACUAUAUAAUUGGUUUGUUCAUAACCAAAAGAACAUAAAUAUCUAUUGGGAAGAUGAGUAGAAAAACCUUAAAAAGUCUUGCCCUUUUUCUUAACCGACGAGUCAUGAUCUUGUGUCAAAAUCAUCAUCUUUUGAAUACGUCAAACGAAGCCGACUUAAAUCUACACCCGUAAUAUAAUCUUCAAAAACAAGUAAACCGUCAACAAAUAAUUGCUUCUCCAAACACCAAACAAUGAAAAGGAGGAAACAAAUGAUUAGGUAGUACCCCCAAAAAGAAAAUGUCUUGUUUCCUUCCUGGUUCGGUGUAGACAAGUUUUGUAAUCGUUUGUUUCUCUGUUAUUCCCGGGGAAAGUUUUCAUUUUUAUUUGGAUUGAAAAACUUUUAUAAAUGUGGGAAGCCGUCGCAGAACCAGCAGAUUCGUCCUGAGUGCACCCAUGUCCCCAAUACCAGAUUCAAGAACUCCUUUCCCUUACUACUUGGAACCGUUUCUCUGUCAUCAAUGAGAUUGACCAUUGCAGUUUCAAGAUCAGAUUGAAGAGAACAACAUCAUUAGUUAUGAAUGCAAAUGCCAUGUUUAUGCCUAUUCUGAUGGAUAGUGAUUAUAAUGAUAGUGAUUGUUGAUCUUACUGUUCUUUUUAAUUAAGUUGGUAUUCUCCUCAUGCUUGUGUUUAGAGAAAAAGCAGAUUCAUCACUGGAUUUGUAGUUUUAGUUACAUUUGGGAGGUGAAUUAUGUGUUAUAUUAUUAAUCUUGAUCUGAUCAAACAAGAUAAGAUAGCAUUUACUAGUUAUGUGCUUAAAUUCUAUAUUGCUGAUCUUUGUCUUACUUUAUUAACAACAUAUUUAGUAGUGGCAUCACAAUAUUUAUUGAUUAUGUUAAAGAGAAUGGCAGAGAGAGUCUACUAUGUUUGCUGACAAGUACCUGUCUUUUUCCUUAGGGUUAUGUUGCUUGCAGCCUGGUAAAACUCUGAAAAUGGCAGGCUGCCUCUUUACACAGGAAGGAUUCCUAGAUAUUGGCAAGAAGACUCUUAAGUCGAAUGAAUCCUACGAGGGGGGAUCCAUCCAUCGAUUAGAGGAGAAGUGUGGGAGUUCUCACUUGGGCGUUAUGAUCCAAAGAGCACUUUUGAAGAAAGAGAGCAAAUCCGACAACGUACAAGGUCUUGAUGUAAACCGCACGGACAGGAAAUUGGCAUUCUACGAAAAUAAAGGGAAUUUGUCUAAGCUUUGGGACAUUCUUUCUAGCUCUUCUUUACGCUUGGAUAGACAACGACGUUGGGUAUUGCCAAGGUAUUAGGAGAAGCGACUGGGAGUUCAGGUUACAAGUAUCAGUAAUCUAUGUCGCCGCACACACAAGCGCAAGUAUUGCAAGGGAUAGCAGAGUCAUUGUAAGAAGCAGAGAAAUAGAGGCAGCAACGCACAGCUUGAGGUUUUAGUUUGGUGAUGUAGUAAGUAAGACAUGGCUUGUAGACCACCUGGGUGAAGGAACUUUAUUGCCAGUUUCUUGCGUAUGACUGAAGAAGGUCGUAGACAAUAUUUUGAUCUCCAAACUUUAAAUUGCCAAAAAUACCAUUUUUAAAAUUAUAUUUUUCAUGUUUACGCUAACCACUUUUAUCCUCAUCAGGGUAAAAUACAUUUAUAACCCUUUGAUUAAAUUUGACCAAAAAAAACUUAUUAUUAACUAAUUUAAACUUA
This is a long non-coding RNA of Brassica napus (rape), 3305 nucleotides long. RefSeq lists it as uncharacterized. The record is from RefSeq and is a predicted model, not a curated record. Lineage: Eukaryota; Viridiplantae; Streptophyta; Magnoliopsida; Brassicales; Brassicaceae. The transcript has 3 exons.